Molecule: ribosomal RNA, 253 nt
Filed under: uncultured bacterium
Lineage: Bacteria
Description: partial 16S ribosomal RNA
Rfam family: Bacterial small subunit ribosomal RNA
Source: RNAcentral
CACGGGGGGAGCAAGCGUUGUUCGGAAUCAUUGGGCGUAAAGCGCGCGUAGGUGGCUCUGUAAGUCCGUUGUGAAAGUCAAAGGCUCAACCUUUGAAUGCCGAUGGAUACUGCAGAGCUAGAGUACGGAAGAGGCGAGUGGAAUUCCUGGUGUAGCGGUGGAAUGCGCAGAUAUCAGGAGGAACACCAAUAGCGAAGGCAGCUCGCUGGGACGUUACUGACACUAAGGCGCGAAAGCGUGGGGAGCGAACAGG